CUUUUCUUGUCAUCUGCGGAAAAGCGUAACUCUCAAGUGCGUGCGAGCGUGCGUGCGUGCGUGUGCUCUUCCGCUGUUUCACCAAAAAGAAUCUGCGAAAACACACACACACACUUCUUCAUUUCGAAUCUUCCUCGAAGCAAAUCUCUCAAUCAUCUCAGUUUUGAGAGAUGGCAGAUCGUUUGACACGUAUUGCGAUUGUGAGUUCGGACCGCUGCAAGCCUAAGAAAUGUCGCCAAGAGUGCAAGAAGAGCUGUCCUGUCGUCAAGACUGGAAAACUCUGUAUUGAGGUGACUGUUGGUUCCAAGCUUGCUUUUAUCUCUGAGGAGUUGUGCAUCGGUUGCGGUAUUUGUGUCAAGAAAUGCCCAUUUGAAGCUAUUCAGAUCAUCAAUCUUCCCAGAGACUUGGAGAAAGAUACAACCCAUCGCUAUGGUGCCAACACUUUCAAGUUGCACAGGCUCCCAGUUCCAAGGCCAGGCCAAGUCCUAGGGUUGGUUGGCACAAAUGGUAUUGGAAAAUCAACCGCUCUGAAAAUUUUGGCUGGGAAGCUCAAACCAAAUCUUGGCCGUUUCACUAAUCCUCCAGACUGGCAAGAAAUCUUGACUCACUUCCGUGGCUCAGAACUUCAAAACUACUUCACCCGUAUUUUAGAAGAUAAUCUAAAGGCCAUUAUAAAGCCUCAGUAUGUCGAUCACAUCCCAAAAGCUGUUCGAGGCAAUGUUGGAGAGGUCCUUGACCAGAAGGACGAGAGAGACAAGAAGGCUGAGCUCUGUGCUGAUCUGGAACUGAACCAGGUCAUUGAUCGUGCUGUUGAGAAUUUGUCUGGUGGCGAGCUGCAGAGGUUUGCCAUCGCUGUUGUUGCUAUACAAAACGCUGAGAUAUACAUGUUUGAUGAGCCGUCUAGUUACCUUGAUGUCAAGCAAAGACUCAAAGCUGCUCAAGUUGUUCGUUCUCUCCUGAGGCCUAAUAGCUACGUCAUUGUGGUGGAGCAUGAUCUCAGUGUUCUUGACUACUUGUCGGAUUUCAUUUGCUGUCUGUAUGGGAAACCAGGAGCCUAUGGGGUCGUGACUCUACCUUUCUCUGUCAGAGAAGGGAUCAACAUUUUCUUGGCUGGGUUUGUCCCCACAGAAAAUUUGCGUUUUAGAGAUGAAUCGCUUACCUUCAAGGUUGCUGAGACUCCACAAGAAAGUGCUGAAGAAAUACAGUCGUACGCGAGGUACAAAUACCCUACGAUGACCAAAACUCAAGGAAACUUCAGGUUGAAAGUGACGGAAGGUGAAUUCACCGACUCUCAGAUUAUUGUAAUGCUUGGGGAGAAUGGUACAGGGAAGACAACGUUUAUCCGAAUGCUGGCGGGUUUGUUGAAACCUGACGAAACAGAAGAAUCAGACAUAGAGAUACCAGAGUUCAAUGUUUCCUACAAGCCACAAAAGAUCAGCCCCAAGUUUCAGAAUUCAGUUAGACACUUGCUACACCAAAAGAUUCGGGACUCUUACAUGCAUCCUCAGUUUGUGUCCGACGUGAUGAAACCGCUUCAGAUUGAGCAGUUGAUGGAUCAAGAAGUUGUCAAUCUCUCUGGUGGAGAGUUGCAAAGGGUUGCAUUAGCUCUGUGCCUCGGAAAGCCUGCGGAUAUCUACCUGAUCGAUGAGCCGAGUGCGUAUCUCGAUUCAGAGCAACGUAUUGUGGCGUCUAAAGUCAUUAAGCGGUUCAUUCUCCACGCUAAGAAAACUGCAUUUAUAGUGGAGCAUGACUUUAUAAUGGCAACAUAUCUGGCAGACCGAGUCAUUGUCUAUGAAGGACAACCAUCCAUUGACUGUAUUGCAAACUGUCCUCAGUCACUGCUCAGUGGAAUGAAUCUCUUUCUAUCUCAUCUGAACAUCACGUUCAGAAGAGAUCCCACUAAUUUCAGACCAAGGAUCAACAAAUUAGAGUCGACUAAAGACAGGGAGCAAAAGUCUGCUGGCUCGUACUAUUACUUGGAUGAUUAAGACGUCUAUCAUGAGGUUUCUUCAUCUCUAAAAUCCAAUCUUUGUAUUAACAAUCACACAGGCAUUUUAUGGAGAGCCAAUAUCUGAAAUGUUUGUUUGUUGGCUCGUUGAUUUCCUUUAUGGAUUCACAGAACAUAAGGCAUGGUCUGGAUAAAAACAGAGUCUGAGUUCCAUGAAGGUCUUUUGCUUUGAGGAAGUUGAUCUAUGAGCUGGGGAUGCUCUUUGUUCCUUAGAUGUUUCUCUUCUCAAGCCUUUGAUUGUUUGUUCUCAUCAGUUUCGCUUCUCAGUGUUUCAGAGGUGAACAGAAAGAAAGUUUCUUCUCACGUUCAUGGAGGUCUAGAAGACGACAAGAGAGAGAAGAGACAAAGAAGGGAAAGGAUUUUCUGUUAUUGAUUAAUGUGUGCAUCGCUCACACUAUAUACACUUAGUACAAUAUGAACCGGAACAAACCGGCUGAGAUAAUAAUGAAAUGUACAAUUGAAUCAAACCGUAUCUAAUCAGACCAAACCGAAUCUAACUCUAA
This is an RNA transcript of Raphanus sativus (radish), 2511 nucleotides long. It is a transcript of the gene named ABC transporter E family member 2, with no coding region annotated. Lineage: Eukaryota; Viridiplantae; Streptophyta; Magnoliopsida; Brassicales; Brassicaceae. The transcript has 13 exons. The record is from RefSeq and is a predicted model, not a curated record.